ACAUGAACAACGCAAAAUCAACAUUCUUCAAAAAGCGUUCCUACGAGGAUAUCUCCUAUUGGGGUGAUGCCUAUGAAGUACGGAAAUCGUCAUAAAGAAUGGAGAGGAACUGCAAACCGCAGGGUGUCGAUCUUGGGUGCAGUGUCUUCUAGAACUCUUCGAGUUCAGUGGAAGGGAUUGCAAUGAUUGAUUCUACAC
This is a small RNA of Aspergillus oryzae RIB40, 198 nucleotides long. It matches the Rfam family "A. fumigatus sRNA Afu_182". Lineage: Eukaryota; Fungi; Ascomycota; Eurotiomycetes; Eurotiales; Aspergillaceae. The record is from Rfam.